AUGGCGAGAGGCAAGGUCCAGCUCCGGCGCAUCGAGAACCCUGUCCACCGGCAGGUCACCUUCUGCAAGCGCCGCGCGGGGCUCCUCAAGAAGGCCAGGGAGCUCUCAGUCCUCUGCGAUGCCGACAUCGGUAUCAUCAUCUUCUCUGCGCACGGCAAGCUCUACGACCUCGCCACCACCGGAACCAUGGAUGGGCUGAUCGAGAGGUACAAGAGUGCCAGUGGAGAAGGCAUGGCCGCCGACGGCUGCGGCGACCAGAGAGUGGACCCAAAGCAGGAGGCAAUGGUGCUGAAACAAGAAAUAGACCUUUUGCAGAAGGGACUGAGGUACAUCUAUGGAAACAGGGCAAAUGAGCACAUGAAUGUUGACGAGCUGAAUGCCCUGGAGAGGUACUUGGAGAUGUGGAUGUUCAACAUCCGCUCCGCAAAGAUGCAGAUAAUGAUUCAAGAGAUCCAGGCACUGAAGAGCAAGAUUCUUUAUAUGCAGGAGGGCAUGUUGAAAGCUGCCAACGAAAUUCUCCAGGAAAAGAUAGUAGAACAGCAUGGACUGAUCGACGUAGGCAUGACUAUAGCAGAUCAGCAGAAUGGGCAUUUUAGUACAGUCCCAAUGUUAGAGGAGAUCACUAACCCACUGACUAUACUGAGUGGCUAUUCUACUUGUAGGGGCUCAGAGAUGGGCUAUUCCUUCUGA
Molecule: ribosomal RNA, 690 nt
Filed under: Triticum aestivum (bread wheat)
Lineage: Eukaryota; Viridiplantae; Streptophyta; Magnoliopsida; Poales; Poaceae
Description: partial small subunit ribosomal RNA
Source: RNAcentral